CAAUCGGUUUUUUUUCCAAAACCACUGAAUUGUAUAUAUAUAUAUAUAU
Heligmosomoides polygyrus is the source of this 49-nucleotide non-coding RNA. The record is from Rfam. Lineage: Eukaryota; Metazoa; Nematoda; Chromadorea; Rhabditida; Heligmosomidae.